GGGUGAGUAACACGUGGGUAACCUGCCUGUAAGACUGGGAUAACUCCGGGAAACCGGGGCUAAUACCGGAUGGUUGUUUGAACCGCAUGGUUCAAACAUAAAAGGUGGCUUCGGCUACCACUUACAGAUGGACCCGCGGCGCAUUAGCUAGUUGGUGAGGUAACGGCUCACCAAGGCAACGAUGCGUAGCCGACCUGAGAGGGUGAUCGGCCACACUGGGACUGAGACACGGCCCAGACUCCUACGGGAGGCAGCAGUAGGGAAUCUUCCGCAAUGGACGAAAGUCUGACGGAGCAACGCCGCGUGAGUGAUGAAGGUUUUCGGAUCGUAAAGCUCUGUUGUUAGGGAAGAACAAGUACCGUUCGAAUAGGGCGGUACCUUGACGGUACCUAACCAGAAAGCCACGGCUAACUACGUGCCAGCAGCCGCGGUAAUACGUAGGUGGCAAGCGUUGUCCGGAAUUAUUGGGCGUAAAGGGCUCGCAGGCGGUUUCUUAAGUCUGAUGUGAAAGCCCCCGGCUCAACCGGGGAGGGUCAUUGGAAACUGGGGAACUUGAGUGCAGAAGAGGAGAGUGGAAUUCCACGUGUAGCGGUGA
RNAcentral lists this ribosomal RNA (595 nucleotides) under Bacillus sp. PCSM48. RNAcentral describes it as "bacterial SSU rRNA". It matches the Rfam family "Bacterial small subunit ribosomal RNA", at positions 104 to 684 of the family's 1533-position model. Lineage: Bacteria; Bacillati; Bacillota; Bacilli; Caryophanales; Bacillaceae. The record is from RNAcentral.